CUCCCCGUGAAUAGCACUCACCACACGGAUCCGUACGCGCCGGAGCCCACCGGGGACAGGCUCUGGUACCUCUCCGGCACUUCCCAUAUCGUCUUGUUGACCUCCUGCAGACCAAGGACCGACUGCUACCCAACUGUAGCAACCCCGUCGUACAAUAUCGCGAGAAGAACGAGCCCGGACAGCUGAGCGACGAGAAGAGAACUGAAAGUGCCGCAUUCAGCAUCAUCUGAGUCCUCCCACUCUUGCUGAUGGUAGGAGGAUGAUGACUUCAGAGGAACUGAGUCAAAUCCAUCUGAUGUUCUCUGCCAACACAUUGAUAACGUCAUGAAGCAUGUUAACCAGUUCAGUGUGAACUUGAAAUGAGGGAGCUACUCACCUCACGUGAGAAGGACCGAAUUUUGGUAAAGAGGGAUUUCUUGGUGAGGUACAUAAGAUCAUCUUCUACAUCCUCUCCCUCCAUUAUUGCACAGCUGUCCGCUGUGGGCAACUCACACUCUUUGCCCCCGGAGCUCAUCAUCAACUUGGAAUACUUAUAUUGCAACCUACAGGUAUAACAUGACAGGAAUAGCAAACAUAAAAUAGCGUAUGGUCAUGAAAAUGAUAAAUAAA
Molecule: long non-coding RNA, 609 nt
Organism: Cololabis saira (Pacific saury)
Lineage: Eukaryota; Metazoa; Chordata; Actinopteri; Beloniformes; Belonidae
Exons: 3
Source: RefSeq, a predicted model, not a curated record